This 462-nucleotide ribosomal RNA is filed under the name uncultured bacterium. RNAcentral describes it as "bacterial SSU rRNA". It matches the Rfam family "Bacterial small subunit ribosomal RNA", at positions 56 to 518 of the family's 1533-position model. The record is from RNAcentral.
UGCAAGUCGAACGAAGCAUUGUGAAGGAGGCUUCGGCCAAUGGAUCAAUGACUAGUGGCGGACGGGUGAGUAACGCGUGAGCAACCUGCCUUUCAGAGGGGGAUAACGUUUGGAAACGAACGCUAAUACCGCAUGACAUAGUUUUGUCGCAUGACAGGGCUAUCAAAGGAGCAAUCCGCUGAAAGAUGGGCUCGCGUCCGAUUAGAUAGUUGUGGGGUAACGGCCUACCAAGUCGACGAUCGGUAGCCGGACUGAGAGGUUGAACGGCCACAUUGGGACUGAGACACGGCCCAGACUCCUACGGGAGGCAGCAGUGGGGAAUAUUGCACAAUGGGCGCAAGCCUGAUGCAGCAACGCCGCGUGAGGGAAGACGGUUUUCGGAUUGUAAACCUCUGUCCUUGGUGACGAACAAAUGACGGUAGCCGAGGAGGAAGCCACGGCUAACUACGUGCCAGCCGCCGC